UGGAUAGCACUGAACAUUGGUGUUCUCUCUUUAUCCACAGACCAGGUACAGCACAGGCAGCAGGACAGGCUUCCCUUGCACUUUCUAUCCAUGUCCCUUGACCUUGGAGCUGGAGAGACUACCUUUUUAAAGGCAACAGGUAAGACAGUCUUUGGCCCUGUUGCUGAGAAUUUCCACA
This 178-nucleotide small RNA is filed under the name Chrysemys picta bellii (western painted turtle). RNAcentral describes it as "TUC338 (ENSCPBG00000015549.1)". Lineage: Eukaryota; Metazoa; Chordata; Testudines; Emydidae. The record is from RNAcentral.